GACGAACGCUGGCGGCGUGCCUAAUACAUGCAAGUCGAACGCAGUGGGGACGGGUGAGUAACACGUGGGUAACCUCCCAUCAGAGGGGAUAACACUUGGAAACAGGUGCUAAACCGAUACUGAUGGAUGGACCCGCGGUGCAUUAGCUUGUUGGUGAGGUAACGGCUCACAAAGGCAACGAUGCAUAGCCGUCCUGAGAGCGCGAUCGGCCACACUAGGAGUAGGACACGGCCCCGACUCCUACGGGGGGCAUCAGUAGGUAAUCUUGUGCAAUGGACGAUGGGCUGGCCGAGCAACGCCGCGAGAGUGAAGAAGGUUUUCGGGUCGUAAAACUCUGUUGUUAGAGAAGCGGUAUCUAACCAGAAAGCCACGGCUAACUACGUGCCAGCAGCCGCGGUAAUAC
This 403-nucleotide ribosomal RNA is filed under the name uncultured bacterium. RNAcentral describes it as "partial 16S ribosomal RNA". It matches the Rfam family "Bacterial small subunit ribosomal RNA", at positions 28 to 526 of the family's 1533-position model. The record is from RNAcentral.